This is a non-coding RNA of Cajanus cajan (pigeon pea), 1150 nucleotides long. NCBI's taxonomy places the organism in Eukaryota, Viridiplantae, Streptophyta, Magnoliopsida, Fabales, Fabaceae. The record is from RefSeq and is a predicted model, not a curated record.
AUGUGGAAAUAGACCGGCCCACGAACACCCGUGUUACUAAACCCUUUCACUCAGCAACUUUGGUAGCCGCCGCGAGCAACAAGAGGAAGAACCUCUCUACUCCAAAACCCUAAAACACCCUUCGCAUUCGCUCUUCUCUUCGCCGACGCACUCCUUGUCUUCCUCAUAAUCUGCUUUGCGAAAAACGUAGCGUUUCGUCCAUCCACAAGUUCCGCAAGUGUUUUGGAUAUUUACCGCAUAGGAGUAUAGGCGAAGACUAAAGUGUUGGAUAUUUAUCGCAUUCGUCCCCUAUACGAAGAUAGAUUGGGACGCUUACAUGUCACAGGUUACCGUGUUUCUCGAAGUAGAUUAGAGUUCAAUAUUAUCAGAAUCAAGGGUAAAAACAAGUUGUUGGGCGUUUUAUAGUGAGAGGGGAUUUGCGUGUGACAAGCAGGGGUAUUUAAGGUUGUAUUGAUGGCUGUUUGAGUGUGGUGAACAUAGUGUUUGGGAAUUCAUGGAUGUAGGGUAAUUUUUUAUAUACUCUUUUGGUUUUGGGUAAUUUUUUUGGCUCCUAACAAUUAAGCAUCCUGCUGCCCCCAUAAGGCUUUCAGUUUUUAACAAAUGUUGAAACUGUAGACAGAAUUACUGGAAAGAUUUGAGGAACAAGAAGCUCCAGGGUCCAGAUCAUUUUUCACAGAGAUUAUUGCUUCUAUCUCAGACAUAAAAUUUGGGAAGGAUGGAAGAUACAUACUUAGUUGUGAUUACAUGACUUUAAAGGAAAUGGCUAAGAUCAUACAAGGAAUCAAGAUAUUCUUUCUCAUCUAUUGAGGACCUGGGAAGUGUGGCUAGUCUAAUUAAUGAUAGAAGUUUAUCAUUCUUAUCGGAGGAAUCUAAAUCCUUUGAAUCGUGUCUAUCUUAUGGCAUAUAUGAGAUCCCAUGUGAUUGAUAUGUCUUUUCACAUUGUAUCCAUGGCAUAAAGGUUGAGUUGGGCUUGGAUAUCAUCGAUACACUUUUUGCAAGUUUUAAUUGAGUUUAGUUUUACUUGGUAUGAAUUUGAAAUAAACAUUUGUGUGUCACUGUGAAUGAUAUCACACUUGUGGUAUGAAUUUGGAAUAAACACUUGUAUGAAUUCAUCUUUUUAUAUUUAUCUAUUUAGUUGAUGCUUUUUCUA